ACGUUGCUCGGAAUUAUUGGGCGUAAAGCGCACGUAGGCGGCUUAGCAAGUCGGAUGUGAAAGCCUUCGGCUUAACCGAAGAAGUGCAUCCGAAACUGCAAAGCUUGAGUACUUAAGAGGAUCGCGGAAUUCCCGGUGUAGAGGUGAAAUUCGUAGAUAUCGGGAGGAACACCAGUGGCGAAGGCGGCGAUCUGGGAAGAUACUGACGCUGAGGUGCGAAAGCGUG
This 226-nucleotide ribosomal RNA is filed under the name uncultured bacterium. RNAcentral's name for it is "partial 16S ribosomal RNA". It matches the Rfam family "Bacterial small subunit ribosomal RNA", at positions 538 to 763 of the family's 1533-position model. The record is from RNAcentral.